This 30-nucleotide non-coding RNA is filed under the name Homo sapiens (human). The record is from RNAcentral. Lineage: Eukaryota; Metazoa; Chordata; Mammalia; Primates; Hominidae.
UCCACACACCAAGCCUUGGAUUGGUCUGGC